ACAGGGCAAAGAAAGUUAAGUGUGAUGAAACAAUUUUUUUUUGUGUGAAGUCCCAGGAAUAAAAAAGGAACAAAGGAGAAAAUUGCACAGUUGUACUAGUAUUUUUUAGUAAUUGGUAAAUAUAUAUUUUCUGGAGAAGU
RNAcentral lists this non-coding RNA (140 nucleotides) under Heterosigma akashiwo. Lineage: Eukaryota; Raphidophyceae; Chattonellales; Chattonellaceae. The record is from RNAcentral.